Molecule: ribosomal RNA, 441 nt
Filed under: uncultured bacterium
Lineage: Bacteria
Description: partial 16S ribosomal RNA
Rfam family: Bacterial small subunit ribosomal RNA
Source: RNAcentral
CCUACGGGAGGCUGCAGUGGGGAAUAUUGCACAAUGGGGGAAACCCUGAUGCAGCCACGCCGCGUGAAGGAAGACGGCUUUCGGAUUGUAAACUUCUAUCCUCAGUGAAGAAGAAUGACGGUAGCUAAGUAGCAAGCCACGGCUAACUACGUGCAAGCAGCCGCGGUAAUACGUAGGUGGCAAGCGUUGUCCGGAAUUACUGGGUGUAAAGGGAGCGUAGGCGGGAAGCCAAGUCAGCUGUGAAAACUACGGGCUUAACUUGUAGACUGCAGUUGAAACUGGUUUGCUAGAGUGAAGUAGAGGUUGGCGGAAUUCCGAGUGUAGCGGUGAAAUGCGUAGAUAUUCGGAGGAACACCGGUGGCGAAGGCGGCCAACUGGGCUUUAACUGACGCUGAGGCUCGAAAGUGUGGGGAGCAAACAGGAUUAGAUACCCCAGUAGUC